RNAcentral lists this ribosomal RNA (497 nucleotides) under uncultured bacterium. RNAcentral's name for it is "partial 16S ribosomal RNA". It matches the Rfam family "Bacterial small subunit ribosomal RNA", at positions 28 to 507 of the family's 1533-position model. The record is from RNAcentral.
GAUGAACGCUGGCGGCGUGCCUAAUACAUGCCAGUCGAGCGAACAGACGAGGAGCUUGCUCCUUUGACGUUAGCGGCGGACGGGUGAGUCACACGUAGGUAACCUACCUAUCAGACUGGGAUAACUUCGGGAAACCGGAGCUAAUACCGGAUAAUAUUUCGCACCGCAUGGUUCGAUAGUGAAAUAUGGCGUUGCUGUCACUUCUCGAUGGACCUGCGCCGUAUUAGCUGGUUGGUAAGGUAACGGCUUACCAAGGCAACGAUACGUAGCCGACCGGAGAGGGUGAUCGGCCACACUGGAACGGAGACGGGGUCCAGACUCCUACGGGAGGCAGCAGUAGGGAAUGUUCCGCAAUAGGCGGAAGCCUGACGGAGCAGCGCCGCGUGAGUGAUGAAGGUCUUCGGAGCGUAAAACUCUGUUAUUAGGGAAGAACAAACGUGUAAGUAACUGUGCACGGCUUGACGGUACCUGAUCAGAAAGCCACGGCUAACUACGUG